Molecule: ribosomal RNA, 800 nt
Filed under: Bacillus licheniformis
Lineage: Bacteria; Bacillati; Bacillota; Bacilli; Caryophanales; Bacillaceae
Description: bacterial SSU rRNA
Rfam family: Bacterial small subunit ribosomal RNA
Source: RNAcentral
CGAAGUUGGGGCGUACUAUACAUGCAGUCGAGCGGACAGAUGGGAGCUUGCUCCCUGAUGUUAGCGGCGGACGGGUGAGUAACACGUGGGUAACCUGCCUGUAAGACUGGGAUAACUCCGGGAAACCGGGGCUAAUACCGGAUGCUUGAUUGAACCGCAUGGUUCAAUUAUAAAAGGUGGCUUUUAGCUACCACUUACAGAUGGACCCGCGGCGCAUUACCUAGUUGGUGAGGUAACGGCUCACCAAGGCAACGAUGCGUAGCCGACCUGAGAGGGUGAUCGGCCACACUGGGACUGAAACACGGCCCAAACUCCUACGGGAGGCAGCAGUAGGGAAUCUUCCGCAAUGGACAAAAGUCUGACGGAGCAACGCCGCGUGAGUGAUGAAGGUUUUCGGAUCGUAAAACUCUGUUGUUAGGGAAAAACAAGUACCGUUCGAAUAGGGCGGUACCUUGACGGUACCUAACCAAAAAGCCACGGCUAACUACGUGCCACCAGCCGCGGUAAUACGUAGGUGGCAAGCGUUGUCCGGAAUUAUUGGGCGUAAAGCGCGCGCAGGCGGUUUCUUAAGUCUGAUGUGAAAGCCCCCGGCUCAACCGGGGAGGGUCAUUGGAAACUGGGGAACUUGAGUGCAAAAGAGGAGAGUGGAAUUCCACGUGUACCGGUGAAAUGCGUAGAGAUGUGGAGGAACACCAGUGGCGAAGGCGACUCCUCUGGUCUGUAACUGACGCUGAGGCGCGAAAGCGUGGGGAGCGACCAGGAUUAGAUACCCUGGUAGUCCACCCCGUAAACGAUGAGUG